AGUGAACGCUGGCGGUCGGCCUAACACAUGCAAGUCGAACGGCAGCACAGUAAGAGCUUGCUCUUACGGGUGGCGAGUGGCGGACAGGUGAGGAAUACAUCGGAAUCUACUUUUUCGUGGGGGAUAACGUAGGGAAACUUACGCUAAUACCGCAUACGACCUACGGGUGAAAGCAGGGGAUCUUCGGACCUUGCGCGAUUGAAUGAGCCGAUGUCGGAUUAGCUAGUUGGCGGGGUAAAGGCCCACCAAGGCGACGAUCCGUAGCUGGUCUGAGAGGAUGAUCAGCCACACUGGAACUGAGACACGGUCCAGACUCCUACGGGAGGCAGCAGUGGGGAAUAUUGGACAAUGGGCGCAAGCCUGAUCCAGCCAUACCGCGUGGGUGAAGAAGGCCUUCGGGUUGUAAAGCCCUUUUGUUGGGAAAGAAAAGCAGCAGGUUAAUACCCCGCUGUUCUGACGGUACCCAAAGAAUAAGCACCGGCUAACUUCGUG
RNAcentral lists this ribosomal RNA (492 nucleotides) under uncultured bacterium. Its description in RNAcentral is "partial 16S ribosomal RNA". It matches the Rfam family "Bacterial small subunit ribosomal RNA", at positions 29 to 507 of the family's 1533-position model. The record is from RNAcentral.